Molecule: ribosomal RNA, 252 nt
Filed under: uncultured bacterium
Lineage: Bacteria
Description: partial 16S ribosomal RNA
Rfam family: Bacterial small subunit ribosomal RNA
Source: RNAcentral
GACAGAGGGUGCAAACGUUGCUCGGAUUUACUGGGCGUAAAGCGCAUGUAGGCGGGCAAAUAAGUCGGGUGUGAAAUCCCUGGGCUCAACCUAGGAACUGCAUCCGAAACUGUUUACCUUGAGUAGUGGAGAGGAAAGCGGAAUUCCGGGUGUAGAGGUGAAAUUCGUAGAUAUCCGGAGGAACACCAGUGGCGAAGGCGCUUUCUGGACACUAACUGACGCUGAGAUGCGAAAGCGUGGGGAGCAAACAGG